RNAcentral lists this ribosomal RNA (259 nucleotides) under uncultured bacterium. RNAcentral describes it as "partial 16S ribosomal RNA". It matches the Rfam family "Bacterial small subunit ribosomal RNA", at positions 333 to 589 of the family's 1533-position model. The record is from RNAcentral.
UUAUCCCUACGGGGCGCAGCAGUGAGGAAUAUUGGUCAAUGGCCGGAAGGCUGAACCAGCCAAGUCGCGUGAGGGAAUAAGGCCCUAUGGGUCGUAAACCUCUUUUGUCAGGGAGCAAAGGCGUCCACGAGUGGACGAAAGGAGAGUACCUGAAGAAAAAGCAUCGGCUAACUCCGUGCCAGCAGCCGCGGUAAUACGGAGGAUGCGAGCGUUAUCGGGAUUAAUGGGUUUAAAGGGGGGGGAGGCGGAGGGGUCAGUC